This 175-nucleotide ribosomal RNA is filed under the name uncultured bacterium. RNAcentral describes it as "partial 16S ribosomal RNA". It matches the Rfam family "Bacterial small subunit ribosomal RNA", at positions 1328 to 1500 of the family's 1533-position model. The record is from RNAcentral.
GGAGUCGCUAGUAAUCGCGGAUCAGCAACGCCGCGGUGAAUGCGUCCCGGGCCUUGUACACACCGCCCGUCAAGUCAUGAAAGUGGGCAGCACCCGAAGACGGUGGCCUAACCCUUGUGGGGGGGAGCCGUCUAAGGUGAGGCUCGUGAUUGGGACUAAGUCGUAACAAGGUAGC